UUCUGAUUCUAGGAGCCUGUCUGCUA
This 26-nucleotide non-coding RNA is filed under the name Mus musculus (house mouse). Lineage: Eukaryota; Metazoa; Chordata; Mammalia; Rodentia; Muridae. The record is from RNAcentral.